CAGCAGCCGCGGUAAUACAUAGGGUGCAAGCGUUAUCCGGAUUUAUUGGGCGUAAAGAGUUCGUAGGAGGUUUAUUAAGUCUAGAGUUAAAGACUGGGGCUCAAUCCCAGCACGCUUUGGAUACUGAUAGACUAAGAGUUAUAGAGAGAUUAGCGGAACUCCAUGUGAAGCGGUGGAAUGCGUAGAUAUAUGGAAGAACACCAAUGGCGAAGGCAGCUAAUUGGCUAUAUACUGACUCUGAGGAACGAAAGCGUGGGUAGCAAACAGGAUUAGAUACCCUGGUAGUCCACGCCGUAAACGAUGAUCGUUAGCUAGUGGAAUUAAUUCACUAGCGCAGCUAACGCGUUAAACGAUCCGCCUGAGUAGUAUGCUCGCAAGAGUGAAACUUAAAGGAAUUGACGGGGACCCGCACAAGCGGUGGAGCAUGUGGUUUAAUUUGAAGAUACGCAAAGAACCUUACCCAUUUUUGACAUCUUUUGCAAUACUAUAGAGAUAUAGUGGAGGUUAACAAAAUGACAGAUGGUGCAUGGUUGUCGUCAGCUCGUGCCG
Molecule: ribosomal RNA, 549 nt
Filed under: uncultured Mycoplasma sp.
Lineage: Bacteria; Bacillati; Mycoplasmatota; Mollicutes; Mycoplasmatales; Mycoplasmataceae
Description: bacterial SSU rRNA
Rfam family: Bacterial small subunit ribosomal RNA
Source: RNAcentral